This 217-nucleotide ribosomal RNA is filed under the name Oxyrrhis marina. Its description in RNAcentral is "partial Eukaryotic large subunit ribosomal RNA". It matches the Rfam family "Eukaryotic large subunit ribosomal RNA", at positions 1125 to 1341 of the family's 3401-position model. The record is from RNAcentral. Lineage: Eukaryota; Dinophyceae; Oxyrrhinales; Oxyrrhinaceae.
AGUGGGCCAUUCCGGGUAAGCUGGACUGGCGAUGCGGGAUGAUCCGAACGCCGAGUUAAAGUGCCUCACUGCCCGCUCACCUAGAUCCCACAAAAGGUGUUGGUUCAUCCAGACAGCAGGACGGUGGCCAUGGAAGUCGGAACCCGCUAAGGAGUGUGUAACAACUCACCUGCCGAAUGAACUAGCCCUGAAAAUGGAUGGCGCUAAAGCGUGCGAC